CCGAAACAGGCAAUGUGGAGGUUGGGAUGAUGGUAGCAAUGCGCCAGACGAUGACGAGUAAUGUCAGUGUCUGCAUACUCGUUUUUGUCAUGGGUGUAUCGGGACGCAAGGCUGGUCUGGGGAAGUACAUGGUAGCCCACACAUGGUUUGAAAAGGUUCGGACAAUGACAUAGUGCGUAGAGUCGUGUGGCGUAAGUUCGUGUGUGGUGGCGCUUCACAUCAUGAUGCAUUGCAGGUCGUCCCAACACUAACGUAUACUUAAUCUGCCUCCCCCUCACCCCAUCUUUCCUUUCCCCCAGGACGGUGUCGUCAGCGGGGGUCCUGGGCGCCCACCUGCUGUGCUCGCGGGUGCCCGGCCUCACGCCCCGCCAGAGCCGCAUCUGUACGCGGGCGCCUGACGCCAUGGUGGCCAUCAGUGAAGGUGCGAGGGCGGGCCUGCGAGAGUGCCAGCGGCAGUUCCAGCAUCAUCGGUGGAACUGCUCCCUCGCGUCUACCAGCAGCAGCGCGUUCGGCCACAUCGUUCUUGUGGGGAGCCGCGAGGCCGCCUACAUGUAUGCGGUGACCAGCGCGGGAGUCACCCACAGCGUCACGACCGCCUGCUUUCGUGGCAACAUCUCCACCUGUGGCUGUGACGACCGCAGGCGAGGGCGGUACAGUUCUUCCGGGUGGAAAUGGGGCGGCUGCAGCGCCGACAUUAGGUUCGGGGUCAGGUUCGCGAAGAAGUUCCUGGACGCCCGCGAGGUGGAGGGGGACGGCCGCGCCCUCAUGAACCUGCACAACAACCGGGCGGGACGCAGGGCGGUGCGGAGCGGGAUGAGGACGGAGUGCAAGUGCCACGGCGUGUCGGGCUCCUGCACCGUCAAGACCUGCUGGAAGACCCUCCCGCCCUUCACCUUCAUCGGGAAGCACCUCUUCCACAAGUACAGGAAGGCCAAGUCCGUCUCAGUGCAUAAGGCCUGGAGCACCGCUUCACGAGGAAGUAAAUCUGCAUUCCCGACGAGACGAGCGGCGAGGCGGCACCGCGGCUCCAGGCGGGGCGGCGGCUCCUCCGACACCCGCGUCAUGCCCUUCAGCUUCCAGCAGCAGACGAGCGGCUGAACAGACACUCCCCGGGAUGACUGAACGACAGCCAGGCUGGACUGAAUGAUCCAGCAGUUGCUGCAGUUACACUGGGACUUUCCAAAUACAGCAAAACAUACUCGCCACCUUCCUCUUGGCCACCCUGACUGUUGUACAAUUCCAUGUGUGGCCAGGUGUUGCAACCCUCCAAUAAGCACCUGUACCAAUCUGGAUAGAGAUGUGUAGUUCACAGUGUAAGGACAAUCCAGUUGCCAGUCAAACAUCUGGCACUGUUCCCCAAAAGAGCUGACAAACUCCGAGCCAAGUUUUUUUUUCUUUACACUCUGACCUAUAGCGCUGGUAGGCUUUCUUCAGGGGCCUGGUGGUUGACCCAAGCCCGUCAUGGCGCAGGGAAGUGUUUAUAGCAGCACCAUUUCUUCUUGGCUCAUGCUGCCCGCCGGAGCUCAUUCUUGAUUCACUUGGACAGUUCCUCUAGAGUUGGGGUAGAUAGGUGAUCUUCAGGACAGCACGUGGGUAGCCUUAUGUCACUUGGCAAUGACUGAAAAAUCCCAGGUGGUAGCAGAAGAUUUGAACCCGCAUUGUCCAGAACUUGGUGAACGCAGGACCUGCACACUAACCAUUCAGCCACUGCCUCUCUGUUCCAACAUGAGUAAAAAAUGAGAGGCCAGAAGAGAGUGGUUGAUCUCAAAUGGAGAAGUGUCUAGAUAGGCAGGAGGAAAUAGAUGAAGGAGGGCUGCUCUGGAGUUAACCUGCAUAAGGAAUUAGGAUAGUAUAGAGACGAGUAGAACGUUAUGUAAAAAGGGACCACAGUAGAGGUGGAGGCAUGUAGUUAGCAAGCUUAGAAGGGCAAUCAUCAUGAAAAUGUCUGUAGAAGACAGAGGGCAACAUUGCAGCAGAGUUUGCUAUAGAAGAAGAGAGUUUAGGUUUGACUCCAUCGAGUCCAAAACAGCUAUGUGAGUGAAGCCCCUCCUAUAUGAAAUGCGCUCUCCAUACGAGGACAGACAAGGCCCCUGGAUAUCAUUUGUGAGGGGUAAAAAACUGAAAGACUAAUACAGAACACACAACUUCAAAGAAGCUGAUUUAGGAAGAGGUGAGAUGAAAUUAUGAGUUGAGGAUAGACCAAAUAUGUUUAUUGUUUAAGUGGACAGCUGAGUGUUGUCAUAGAAUAGGGAACAGAUGUUCGGAAUUCUAUCCCUCUGUUUUUAUAUCGUGUUUCCUUUCAAGCUAAUCUAUCUUUGCUAUGGUAAUCCUGCCACUGUCUUCCCCUAAACCUCUCAGCACCUGUAUUCUGUACGACUAUUUUAUUUCCCUCUCUGA
RNA transcript from Eriocheir sinensis (Chinese mitten crab), 2397 nucleotides. It is a transcript of the gene named protein Wnt-2-like, with no coding region annotated. The transcript is spliced from 8 exons. NCBI's taxonomy places the organism in Eukaryota, Metazoa, Arthropoda, Malacostraca, Decapoda, Varunidae. The record is from RefSeq and is a predicted model, not a curated record.